This is a long non-coding RNA of Oreochromis niloticus (Nile tilapia), 2574 nucleotides long. RefSeq lists it as uncharacterized. The record is from RefSeq and is a predicted model, not a curated record. The transcript has 3 exons. Lineage: Eukaryota; Metazoa; Chordata; Actinopteri; Cichliformes; Cichlidae.
UUAAGUCACCUUUAUGUUUCCAGCACUGCAGGAUAAUCUAAUGGGAUUGACUGAUCUUUGCACAAUUUCAAUGCUCUUCUGUUCCACCAUGCUGUGACCCUAUUCCUGUCGACAGAUAUUGACAUUGAGUUAUUGAGAUUUGAAGGAUGCAGUAUUUACAUUGCUAUCAGCGCUGGAUGGUUCGUGGCUUAAGUUGUGGCCUUGUGUGUCUUGCCUUUACGUUGUGGUUCUGCAAAAAGUCAACAACCAAAAGAAAAGUAAAAGAAAAGAAGACCCUGCUUCAGAAAGAAGCAGAGAGAACACAAGAAGAGCUGACUUUUUUGUCAGAGUUUAUCCCUCAAAUUGUGGAACUGAAGAGAGGACAUCACCAGCAGAAGGAAGAAUUCAAACUGUUAGAGGAGAUAAAUAAAGAGCUGGCAGAAAACAAGGAGAAACUUCGUCUGGUAGAGAAUGAAAUAACAAAGAGUGAGAAAGAAAAAGAGAUGGACAAAACGGAAAGAUACUUGCAGGAAAAACAAAGUCUAUUAAGUUUUCAGCGUAAACUGGAGAAGAGAAAGGAAGAACUGGAGAAUCUACACCUGAACAUGGGGAAACAGCUGCAGCAUAUAAAGGAUAUACUGAGCAGAAUGACAGAAAGAAGGACAAAAUUAGAAAACAAUUAUAAGGUGAUCAAGUUGCAGCUGCAGGAGGUAGAAAAUCAGUGAUUAGUAGUGAGAAAGAAUAAAUAAAUGAUGUACACUGAUUGAUUAACCUUACUAUCUGACAUGAUAUCUUAAAUAAAACAAUCGUUAGCUGCAAAGAAGAAUAAUCUAAGAAAGAUAGCAAUAUUUUUUUCAAUUUAUGAUAAAUUAUAUUCAUGUUGUUUGAGUAAGAAAGUUUAAAAAGACAGGAAUUAUCUCAAUAGACUAAACAGAGAGAUGGCGCUGAAAAGGAUGCACAGCAGGUCGAGUAAGAAGGAAACGUACUAAUGCGUGAAGAGGGUAUGCUGAGAAAACGGAAAGGGUACUCUGAGGAGAUGAUGGGUGGACAGAAGUUAAUGAAUCAGGAAGUGCAGAGGAUUAGUAACGAGGAAGUUAGGGCAGCUAUGGAAAGACAGUUGGUCAGGAUUCCAUACCUGUGGAGGUAUAGAGAAGUCUGGUAAAAAGGCCAGUUGACUUUUUCACUAGAUUUUUUUUAACAGUCUUGGGGAGUGAGAGCACGCAUGAGGAAUGGAGAAUUGCACUGGAUGGUGUUCAGAGCUGUGGAAAUUAAAAACAAUUAAAUUUGAUUAAGAAUGUUUUGUUAAUAAAAAACAGAAAAGAGAACUGUUCAAGCAAGGAAGAAAGCUGAAAGGAACAAAUGUCUAUUUAAACGAACACCUAAUCAAGAAAAAUGCAGACAUUGCAAGACAAGCAAGAAUACUAAGAAAACAGAAGUAAAUACAGUCAACUUGGAUGUCAGAUUGUAAGAUAUUCAUUAAAUUAAAUGGAACACCAGAGCAGGCAAAAGUUCUAGUCAUCAAAGAGAUGACCGAACUAGAAAAACAUAACUGAUAAAUCAUAAUGCAAAGCAGUGUAUGAUGGCAUUUGUCUAAGUUGCACAACCAACUCAGAUGUCUGACAGUUUCAUGUAUCAACUCAUAUAGAUAUUGACAAUAGGACAUAUGUAUGUCCUGGUGUAUCACAGCAAUAUAGAUCCUGAUUGUAAUUUCUUUCACAAUAAGAUAAAUGAAUUCAAUUAUUAUAGACAUGAACAAUUUAAAAAGAAAAUAAAGGUAGAAAAGGGUAUAACAAUGGUUCACUUUAAUAGAAGAAGCCUAUAUGCAAACUUUCAAUCCAUCAAAGAAAGCAAUAUACAGUUUAAACAGCCAUUCAAGAUGAUAGCCAUAUCAGAGACCUGGAUAACUCCUGAAAAAGAAGCAGACUUAAAGAAAUAAACGGAUAUGAAUUCCUUUAUUUAGACAGGGUCAACAAAAAAGGAGGUAUUUCAAUAUUGCUUUGAGGUAUUUCAAAAAGCGCUCCUGGAGCUGGAUCCUGCAAACCUUUUAGCCAAGGUUCAGAGAGUGAAGAAUCACCUCUGUGCAUUGUAGAUGACUACAUUUCACAAAAUGGGACUUUUUAAAUGGAUAUCCAUCAAAAGGUUAAUGCAUUGUGUUGAUGUGAUGUCAUUUCCAUUGUAGAGAAAGCAUUUUUUGGACUAACGAAAUCUCAAAUAUGUCAAAAAAAAGCAAAGGGAAUUGUUCUAAAAAAUAACCAUAACCUGAAGAUGUUUUUCAUACAGGCCAGUAACCCGAGGAAGGGUCUAAGCUUGUUCUUGUGUUAUCACAGUUCUUGUGUAAUUUACUAGGGGGAUGGAACAUAAACCAUUGGCCUUUUUCAUUGUUGUGUUCAUUUUGUUUUUUAAAUAAUCUGAGCUUUUGUGUUUGCUCUCCUGGUUUGCCAUUUAUCCUUUAAGUAUGUAAGGCUUUGAGACAAAAGGGAAAAGGCCCUUGUCUUUUUAGUGCUUGUUUAUUUCAAGUUAUUGCCAUGUUUAUGAAAAUAAAUUUUUCAUUUGGAAAAAAUGUUAGCAUGUGGUCAUUUAUUCAUAAAUGUAUUA